Molecule: ribosomal RNA, 253 nt
Filed under: uncultured bacterium
Lineage: Bacteria
Description: partial 16S ribosomal RNA
Rfam family: Bacterial small subunit ribosomal RNA
Source: RNAcentral
UACGUAGGGUGCAAGCGUUGUCCGGAAUUAUUGGGCGUAAAGAGCUCGUAGGCGGUUUGUUGCGUCGGCUGUGAAAUCCCGAGGCUCAACCUCGGGUCUGCAGUCGAUACGAGCAAACUAGAGUGUUGCAGGGGAGACUGGAAUUCCUGGUGUAGCGGUGAAAUGCGCAGAUAUCAGGAGGAACACCGGUGGCGAAGGCGGGUCUCUGGGCCGAUACUGACGCUGAGAAGCGAAAGCGUGGGGAGCGAACAGG